CCUACGGGUGGCAGCAGUGGGGAAUAUUGGGCAAUGGGCGCAAGCCUGACCCAGCAACGCCGCGUGAAGGAAGAAGGCCCUCGGGUUGGAAACUUCUUUUAUCAAGGACGAAACAAAUGACGGUACUUGAUGAAUAAGCCACGGCUAACUACGGGACAGCAGCCGCGGUAAUACGUAGGGGGCAAGCGUUAUCCGGAUUUACGGGGUGUAAAGGGCGUGUAGGCGGGACUGCAAGUCAGAUGGGAAAACCAUGGGCUCAACCCAUGGCCUGCAUUUGAAACUUUAGUUCUUGAGUGUUGGAGCGGCCGCCGGAAUUCCGUGUGUCGCGGUGACAUGCGUAGUUAUUCGGAGGAACCCCAGUGGCGACGGCGGCCUGCUGGACCAUAACUGACGCUGAGGCGC
RNAcentral lists this ribosomal RNA (402 nucleotides) under uncultured bacterium. RNAcentral describes it as "partial 16S ribosomal RNA". It matches the Rfam family "Bacterial small subunit ribosomal RNA", at positions 338 to 754 of the family's 1533-position model. The record is from RNAcentral.